This is a long non-coding RNA of Columba livia (rock pigeon), 6109 nucleotides long. RefSeq lists it as uncharacterized. The record is from RefSeq and is a predicted model, not a curated record. Lineage: Eukaryota; Metazoa; Chordata; Aves; Columbiformes; Columbidae. The transcript has 2 exons.
CGUCCCUGGGCCGCUCGGGGCGUGGCCGCGCGGCGGUACCUCAGGGUUGCACAAACCGAGGGGCGGGGCCGCUCCACAGGCCAGUGGGGAAGGGGCUCUUAAAGGCACACGCGCCUGCGGGGCUGCCCGCGCUGCUCUGUCACCCGGCAGCCAAGUCGCGGGGGAAGGAACAGCGCGGCCGGGCCGGCUCUGCGCCCGCUUCGCUGCCUGCCUGCAGCCCAGGAGGAGAUGCCGCGGGCCGGGCUGCUUGGCCCGGCUGUUAACCCCCGGGAAGGCUCCGCGGCAGCCAGGGGAGCCGGGUUUCGCCUCAGGCGGGGGGUUCUCGGUCUCCGCGAGGUGGUAGAAAGACGAGGAGAGCUGAUGUCACCACGAGGAGAUGGUUGCCAGUGGGUAAAAGCCAUGCAGCCAGCAAUCAUAUGAUCUUUCUGUAUCUGGCAGCAAAAAGAAAAUAGCAAUGCAGAUCUUGAGGUAAGUCUUGCUAAAAAGGCAACAGUGUUUUCAGAAAGCGUAGAGCAGAAUAGAAAAUAUAUAUGCAUGCUUAUUUAAUUAGUAUUUACUCAUACAUGGAUGCAGAUAUACAACACCAACAACUGGAAGUGCAUCAAGAGAUCUCUGAUGUGCUUCACAAAGUGAAAUUAGUGAUGGUAUUCCCUAAUAUUCCUGCACUUCAUAAAAAGGUCUGAGCUACCCUUUUUAUCUUUGCUGUACAUGAAAUAAUAUGCUUUCUGGUGAUUUUAAUGCCAUCUCUAAUUUGUUUCCUCCUAGUAAAACUGCAGCCCCUCAGACCUGUCUUCCCCUUCCUAGGGCUGUAUGCUAUAGCGAGGUGUCAGUCCCUGCUGCGGAAAGAAAGGCUGCAGCUUUGAAAAGCACCAGCCUCAAAAUAAAUAUAACACUGUGGUCCAAAUUACCAGGGAUGCUUCAAAGAAUGGAUCAUUUUUCAAAUUACCAGAGCAUGCAGGUGAAUAAAAGGAGACUGCCAAGCUGAAAAGGCAGUGGGACAGACAGACGAGGUGACACAUGGCAACUGCUGUAUGGUCUGUCCCGAUUAAAAUGAGAUUAACUCCCUCUCCCAGUUGCCAAAAGCUGUUCUAAUACACAAAGUACCUACAACCUGGUGACUCCAGUGCAAUUACCUUCCAAAACUACUAUCUUGCACUUCAGUUAUGGUCUUUCUGCUUUACCUUCUCUUGGUGUGUUUUUUUCUGCAGCCACCGACGCUUUCCUGCAUGGGAUUUAUCCCUUCCCAUACACGCACCCUGUGAAAGUGCGCCUGUCCCGGCUGCUGUGGAACCGCUCAUGGAGGGGCAGCUGGUUGUGGCCCUGGCUCUCCACAGCUGAACCCACGCAGGGACCUGGCAGAGAGCCUGGUGGUAGUACUGACAAAACUCGAUCCUCCAAGGUACCACAACAGAGGGAUCCACGUGGCAGGAGGAGGAUUCCCCAGAACUGAGUCAGAAAGAAAAUGCACACAGGAAAAGUUGCUUUGUUUUCCAGUCCUCGCUGUCUGAGCCUUCUGCUUUCCCCUUCCCAGCCCCGCAGACAAGCCAGGUGGCGUGUCCUCCGUUAUCAUGGCUCGUCCUCAGCGCAAACACCGAUGUUACAGGAUCUCUCUGGGGCAUUUGGGUCACUCUCAGGAAUGAAACUGUCCUGAAAGAGAGCAGAGAAUUGCGACACUUUCAAGCACUCUUCAGAGCAACACCUUUACUGUACUGUCCUGAGAGUUGGGAUGGGCCUUCCAAAACCGCCAGGAGCAAAGAGCAGGGCAAAAAGGGGAGGUGACCCCAUUCUAAGUGCCUACAAACCUCAAGUUUUUCUGCUGCCUUUCUGUGCUUCACCUUCUCAUUGCUACUUGCUUAAGGUGUAGGUGCCCUAAGCAGCUCCAAGCAGGAAUUACCUGGUACAUGAGACUAGUUCGUAUACAGUGGUUGCAAACCAAAGAGUAAAAAUCAAGCAGAUUUUAUUACUUUGUAAAGAACUAUAGAGCUAGCAGGCUGCCCUCCGGCUGCUGAUGCUACUAAAACCAUUUGAAUUGACUAAGUUAAGAUUUCCAAUACUCUUUGCUUUUGGAUGCCCAAACCCACAGACAGCAUUCACAAAUUACUAUCGGGGCAAGACUAAAUCUACUGUCUUUCCAUGUUGCCACAAAACUUCUCAAAGUCUGUGAAGUAAGAAAACAACAUCCCACCAAGGCUCUGUAGCAUCCCCAGCUGAUUCAGUCUGCUUGGCAUAGGAAAGACAAAUUCAAAGAACAGAGCCAGAGGGGUAGAUUAAGCAAUAGAUCCCAUAGAUUUUUGGACCAGACUGUGUUUGGUUUCUGCAGAAACCCAACCCCCUGCCUCUGUACAUGUUUUCCAGAUGAUGGUCACAGUAUACCCCAUAUAGUACCCCUGGCUUUGCAAUCCAUUACUAAAACCUCAGGAGAGAAAUGAGGCCUCCAGUCCCCAAUAAUCUGACUGAGAAGAACAAAUGAGAUUGUAAGAGAGGAGCAGGUUGUACCAUUUCACAGCAUGGUGACUAAUUGUUGUUCUUCCUUUCUCAUGCUAUUUUACCUAAAGCUGCUUGAUAACUUGCAGAUAAAAUAACAUACAACCAUCAGGACUCAGAACCAGCCUGCAGGUAAGUAGGCGCUUGCAAAACCUGUGAUAGUUACUGCCUGUGUCCAAUCUCCUGCAGACAGCCUUUCCCCACACAUGAAAAAGAGCCGCUGGAGUGUGGCUCAAUAAAUGACACUGUCCCCACAGUGGGCAUCCCAGCCCCACGGCACACCUGACAAUCAUCAGCAGCUGAUAUGAUACAGAGAAUUGACAGAGCCCAGUGCAUUACAGUGAGGAUAUUGGGCUGAUUCCACUCUGCCUGAGGAACGGGUUUGAAGCCACCCCUCCUAUGCAUCAGCACCCCCAUGCUCCCAGUCCUCAUCCUUGCCCCCAGCUAAGGAGCUCCACCUCAGAAGGAAUCGGACGCCACCUUUUCCCUGCCACCUCCUUUGCAGUUCUGGGCACUGAGCUGCGGAUGCUGAUCGCAUCUGGCUAUGCUGCCACCUCCCGAGAGAAACCAGCAUCCCAGCUUUUGCUCAGAGGAGAGGACAUGUUCUGCAGCCAGCCUGCGCAGAGGUCCCCUGGGAGGGCUCUCUGUGCCUCCAGUACCCUGAGGAGACAAGAGGUGGGCCCAAGAAUCACCAUACCUGUAGGUCAGCUGCAGCCUGGCCUCCUCUUUUAUUCACAAAGCUGAAGAAGAGAUGGGAGGGUGAGACUGCCUGCAACAACCAAAAUAAAAAAUGGACAUGUGGGAAAGAGUGAGGGCUUGAGAGAGAAAGACUCCUUUAACCUGAGCUUGGAUCCUGAAGAGAUGUCAGAGACAGAGGCUGAGAUUGUAAUUCAGCAGGAGGGCAAGUCUUUCAGAGGGUAAUAGGAAAGAGGUUAUGGGAUAGUUCAAGUGCAGGAGACAGCACCACUAACCAUACUAGAGACAUCAUUUGGGCACCAGGUCAUAGUCUGUAUCUUGCUUAGAAAGGAGUUUUCAAAGUGCCUUUUAUCCUUUAAAGGAGGAAAAAAAAAUAUGGCUCAAUAGAAGUAGUCAUAUUCGUCUACUACUGCAUGUAAACAACAUGGGAAGAUGCUGCCAGGCUAAUUAGCAGUAGCCAGGAAAACCCACAAGAGUAAGUAAAGUAGUAACAGAAGCUUGCCUGCAUAUAAAUCAAUGAACUCCUACUGAUUUGGGAAAUCCAUGAACCUUCAGUAACACAGGAAGAGGCAGUUCCAGACUGUUGUGUGGGAGACACUAGAACACUGUUUGCAGAUAUUCUUAUCUACAACUUCUUCCUGACAGUCUUGAAUGUGGGGAGAGAGUCACCAAGAGGGAUUAAGCACUAAAAUCAGAAAAAAAGCAUUAUCAACAAAGUGAGGUCUAGAAGCUACCUCCACUGAGUCAAGUGCUUUGAUGCUGUUUGAGAGGAGGUGGGAACCAUCAAGCAGCUACAGCUUUGCAUUUGUCUUCCCCCAUUCAUUCUUUGUCCUCUUUCCAAAAAAUAUGGUAUCCCAGAAUUCCUCCAGAGGAAGAACCAAGUCCCUAACUGCCAGCCCUGCUCAAUAAGACAAAUUAAUUAGCCUUUGCUAUCUUUCUUUGUCACAAUAGGAGAGAUGCUGCUGCCAGUAAAAGCAUUUUGUUGAAGGCCCUGCCCAGCAGAGUCAUAGCAAAGGUACCAUUUGGGAGUUGAAAAUUGUGAAAAUCCAAAUCCAAGGUUGUUUUAGUUCAUUGGUUGUUUUUGUGGGAGAGGGCUGGGGGUGGAGUUCAGAUGUGAUUUGGAAGAAAAAAAAAAAGAAGUAAUAUUAUACCACUUAAUCUUGGCAAGAUACGAAAGAAUGGAAAGAACAAACUAGGUCACCCACAGACACAACAAUUAGGUUAAAAAACUAUAUGGAUGUUACAGAGAAAUUGAGAGCAAGGGAACCAGCAGUCCCUUGCCUUCCAUACUAGCAUAAGCAGGAACAAAGAACUGUGAUACCUAACUCAAACAGUUCUCAGAAAGCAAGAUUUCAGUUAUUUCUGGUAUUUAACUGCCCUCUGUUGUGAACACUUAGAUAAAGACAAUAUACUGAGUUCAGCCUUACUUUGGCCUCCACUGCCAUUAUGGCAUCUGGGUCAGGGAAUCCCACAAGAGAUGGUCUGUCUGCCAGUUCUAUACCAAACAAUAAAACAAAUUAAUAAACUGUCACACUUCUUUGCAGGUUCAUAUACUUUGAACAUAUCUUGCUGUGUCAAACAUCCUUUCAUUUAAUUUCAAAGCUCUGCACAACUAGAUCUCCAGAACCCCAAUGGAAAGGAGGGCCAUUUGAAGCAGCGAGCUUUCUGUGCUCAGAAAGCAUAAGCCCCUCAACCCAAACAGCUUCAGGAGAUGCAGAAAAUGAGAACCAGCAGAGAGACAAGUGUAAGGUGCAGGGCCUAGUGCUCUGGUAAUUUUAGCUUUCAAUAAUUUGCCACUGCAAAGUGAUGUAGUCCCUUCUUCUCCCUCCUCCAGUCACUGUGUUGGUUUUUUUAUUUCUCCCUCUGCUCACCACAUUCGCAAAUCAUAUUCUCAGCCCGGUGUAAGGAUUCACUGAUUGCUGUCUGUGCUAGGAGGAAGGAGAAAGAGCCAUAUCCAGCACCAGGAACACUCUCCCAUGCAUCUGCAGUAUCAACAAGACUUAAAAAAAAAAGAACAGAACAAGAGGCAAGAGCUUCAGGGAGGUUUUAGCAAGACACAUAGGAAGUUCUACAUCAGGUGGGAGUUUACUAUAACCACCAAGGAGUUAGAUUCUUUACCUCAAUAUAUAGAAAUACUCAUAAGUUUAUUACGGAAGAUCCUUUUGUUCAAGUUCACUCACAUCCCAUAACCCUCUUUUGCGAGUCUGCAGUCAUUCAAGACAACGGGUUGCGCAGGUCUGAAUGGGAAUAUUAUAAAUAAAUUUGAAAAACUAGGAAAGCUGGAAAAAGAUGCUAAAGAUCUGACAACACCACACACAUACAAAGCAUCAGCAGUUACCAGACCCUUUUUGUUCCUUGGAGAAGGAAAAACAGUGCCCCAUUCUCUUACCUUCCUUUAUUUGUACAAUGAGUGACAAAGUACCUACUUUUGCAUUUAGAUACAUUUCUCCUGCUGGGCAGCUUCUGCAAAUGCCCUUCACAUUGCAGCCUUUAGUUUGAAAGGGAUCUGAAGUGAGGAAGAGCCCUUGUAACUCUUCCUUUCAUACAGAAAAACUGUCAAUUGAUUCAAACUAUUUGGAGAGUAUAAGGAAAACUCUUCACUUUCUCUUCAGUUUUAGGAUGUGGAAAAUAGAGCAGAUGACAAUUUAUCUGAGUUAAGAGUGGGAUGGGGGAGGUAGAGGGACCAAUAUCCUCCAGAAGCUCAUGAGUGCAACUUGCAUUUCCAUGUUGUCUGAUUAAUAAUUAAGGUAGCUGCUUAUGCUAAACCAGUUUUCCACUCCAUUUAUCUCACUAUUCCCUUCUAUUUGCUCCUUUCACCCAUUUUCUCUCACAGUGUGUUUUAUUGUAUGAUUUUAUGUUUGGAUUUGACUCUAUUUUUAAACUCAACCAUUAAAAACAAGAUUGUGGGUGUGUUGGUGUGUAGAAAUUA